AUAAUAUUUUGAAGCUAAGAAGAAUCAUCUAUAUUUGGGCACUUGGAUGAUUUCGAGCUAGUAGUGCAACCGGCCAAAUUUUGU
Molecule: non-coding RNA, 84 nt
Filed under: Anaerobacillus alkalilacustris
Lineage: Bacteria; Bacillati; Bacillota; Bacilli; Caryophanales; Bacillaceae
Description: c-di-GMP-II sequence
Rfam family: Cyclic di-GMP-II riboswitch aptamer
Source: RNAcentral